AAGUCGUAACAAGGUUUCCGUAGGUGAACCUGCGGAAGGAUCAUUAACGAAAAGAGUGUGGUUGUGGUUGUGUGUGGGGGGUGGGUGUGGUUGUGGUGUGUAUUAUAAACAUUGUUUGUGUACAUAUCAUGUUCAACACACACACAUACACACACAUAUCACAACAUUACACAAUAUAAAAGCGCAGAGGGAAACCUUUUGUGCGGUCAGUUACAACGGAAGUGGUAAUUGGCCAGGUGAGAAGAGUUGGUAAUAUAAGCAGCGGCUUAUGUUACACAUAAAACCAGGAUGAUUAGUUUGACUAAAGUAAAAAGGGAAAUAGUAAAAAACUUUUAACAAUGGAUCUCUUGGCUCUU
This 356-nucleotide unclassified non-coding RNA is filed under the name fungal sp. RNAcentral describes it as "partial internal transcribed spacer region". The stretch from base 1 to 46 matches the Rfam family "Eukaryotic small subunit ribosomal RNA", at positions 1786 to 1831 of the family's 1831-position model. Lineage: Eukaryota; Fungi. The record is from RNAcentral.